AGAACUAACGCUGGCGGCGUGCCUAACACAUGCAAGUCGAGGGAGAAAGGUGGCUUCGGCUACCGAGUAAACCGGCGCACGGGUGAGUAACACGUAGGUAACGUACCCUGGAGUCCGGGAUAACCAGUCGAAAGACUGGCUAAUACCGGAUACGACGACGGGAGCCCCGGCUCCUGUCGUGAAAGACGGCCUCUGUUUACAUGCUGUCACUCCUGGAUCGGCCUGCGCACCAUUACGCUAGUUGGUGAGGUAACGGCUACACCAAGGCUGAGAUGGUUAGCUGGUCUGAGAGAUGGCCAGCCACACGUGGGACUGGACGACACGGCCAGACCUCCGUAACGGGAGGCAGCGAGGUGGGAAUUAGUUCGGCGACAAGGUCGGGGACG
RNAcentral lists this ribosomal RNA (386 nucleotides) under uncultured soil bacterium. RNAcentral describes it as "bacterial SSU rRNA". It matches the Rfam family "Bacterial small subunit ribosomal RNA", at positions 26 to 382 of the family's 1533-position model. The record is from RNAcentral.